This 1301-nucleotide long non-coding RNA is filed under the name Linum usitatissimum (flax). Its description in RNAcentral is "long non-coding RNA (LUSI_LNC003998)". Lineage: Eukaryota; Viridiplantae; Streptophyta; Magnoliopsida; Malpighiales; Linaceae. The record is from RNAcentral.
UUUCCUUCUGUCCUCAUAACAAAGCUGGAAAACCAAAAUAUUAUCCAUUUGGGCUGCUGCAGCAGGAUUUUACCCCUGCAAACAGAUUAGCAUUCGUCACAACCCCUUACUGCCUUACAGCUAAGUUGUGAGAGAAACUCCAGAAGAAGAACCCAGAAACAGAGAAUAAAAAGCAUCAAACUUUCCUCACAAACUCCCCCCAUUUUUCUCUGGAGACACUUCCCAACACAACAUAACAAUGGCCGACUUAUGGAGCAAACUGAAGAAAUCAACAAUAGUCAAAACCCAGGGGUUCCAAUCCAGGUACAUGAAGCUCCCUGCAGCAAGCCAGAGCGCCAUCAGGAAAGCCGUCGAUAGCGACCCGAAGAACCCUUCUUUUCUGAUCGUCAUCACCACAUCCCAUCUACGGUCAGGAAACAUGGUAAGAUCAGUCUCUGUUUUUUAUUUUUUCUUUCAAACUUUCCUCAUUAGUUAACGGCGGAGUGUGUCUGUGUGUGUAUUAGAGUUGGAUUACCGAUGGUUAGCUAACGGCGAGGGUUGACUCGGUUUCUCAUCUUCCACUUUUGCUCACAGUGUGUUUUCGUUUGUGUUCUGUUUCUCCGAUUCCGUGGUGCUAAAUUGUUUCUUUUCCUUUCGGAAAUUGCAGUGCUUUCCGGCCAGGAUCCUAUGGAGCACAUGAGCGAAGAUUGUUCGAAGAUAACGCUGUGUCUGAUCGACAGAGCGAAGUGUGUUGUGGAUUAGAGGGAGGGUAAGCUGUUCGAGACGAAAGAGUACGGGAGGAAGUAUAUAUGCGGGCGGAAGCGGUUUUGCACGAAACAUAAGUUGGCAGUGGGAGACGUCUGUCUCCUCCAGCUUGUCGAUAAAGAGACUAACCUCUUCCACAUUCAAAUAUUCCGCCGUGGUUGAGGCUGAUCGAAGUUCGUUUGGGUCGUUGGUUUGUAGGAUCUAGUUGGUUGUUGCGUUUGUGUUUCUUGUGCUGUUAUGUUCUGUUGUUGGAAAAAGGACCUCCACCCCAUAAUCUUCUUCCAAGCUCAAGAGGCGGCAUCUGCAGGUAAAUGAGACCAAAUAUCACAUCCUCGAAGCUUAUACAACAAAGUCCAGGCAACCCAAAGGGAGCCAGAACACAAAACCAGACUCCAAAAAUGGCAGCAAACGCAUGCAACAUUCCAUCAUUUUAAACUUCGAAUACCAACCCCUCCUUCUUUAGUAGAGAACACAAGGUUGUGCCAGCUUACUCUUGCUCUUUUAGACCCAUUGUCAUCAGAGUUCCAAACAAACUUAGAACAAAUAUCUUUCACCUG